Molecule: long non-coding RNA, 1065 nt
Filed under: Fukomys damarensis (Damara mole-rat)
Lineage: Eukaryota; Metazoa; Chordata; Mammalia; Rodentia; Bathyergidae
Description: lncRNA (ENSFDAG00000025060.1)
Source: RNAcentral
GGGAAAAGUUAAUUCCUAGGGCUCCGAGGUCCUGCAUUUGUCAGGGAGCUGGACGUCAGCGCUAUCAUUACCAAGCAAAUCAGCCAGGCGGUUAAUGGUGGAAUCAGGAGACAUUUGCACUCUGCUAUCAGAAUGACAUCAUAACUAAAGCAGCCUUCAGCCAGAAGCCCUAGGCUCUCUCUGAGCAGAGGCCAGAGGGCUGCUGGGGGCGCCCCCCUGCGACUCUGUGGGCUGAAAGCUGAGUCCAGGCCCCUUCCAAGCACACGGUGGGCCCAGCCCCUAGCAUGUUCCCAGGAUAGCCAGGCAGACAGGAACUAGGGUUACAGUCUUUCCCCAAGCAAUCGACUCCACCGCCUGGGUGUGCACACUCUAAAUAAUAAUGUAUAUUUUGAUAAUCUGAGAGACUGUAAAAUCGUUUUCUUCAUCAGGCAAGAGCUGGCGUUUUAAGAAUGCAACUACAUUUCUGCAGUAAAAUGUAUGCCUUUCCAACAGAAUUGUCAAUCUGUCGGUGACCCGGGCUUCAUCAGAAGCUCUGCACCCUCCUUCAAGCAAUAGAAAUAGAUGACGCUGGGGGGAAGGAGGGCAAGCUAAAGGCAAAGCCCUUCCUGCUCUUGUUUUGGUUGCUUUUCUUUUAAAGCACAGUUGAACACACACGCACACACACACGCACACACACACGGAGACACAAACCUUAGAAUAAUGGGGGAGGCAUUUGGCGACAAGCUGCAUCCGCGACGCGGCGCGGCGACGAGCGACGAGGAGCCAGCCCCUCUUGCUAGCUGGCAGCUCAGUCUCCACGGCGGCGGCGGCGGCGGCGCGGACCGAAACUCGCCCCCGACCCGAGAUGCCCAACUCCACAGCGUGCCGAAGGUCGCCUCUCCAGUCUCGCUACAGACUGGGAGGCACAGGGAAGAUGUUGGUGAUGAGGAACACGUAGCCAGAGACACCUGUGUUGUACAAACACAUUGCACAAUGGCCCGGGAGGUCAGGUGUGAGGAUGAUGACGAAGGUGAUGGAGAAGAGAAACACAUUCUUCUCACCAGGCAGAUGCUCGGGCUUUUAUGA